Non-coding RNA from Triticum urartu, 3812 nucleotides. Lineage: Eukaryota; Viridiplantae; Streptophyta; Magnoliopsida; Poales; Poaceae. The record is from RefSeq and is a predicted model, not a curated record.
GGGCCGUCGGCCAACCCAUUCUAGGAUUGAGCGACUGUGUAGCUUCCGAUGAGGGGAGUUGCUAAAAAAACUACCCACGCGAGCCGCACAGAAGCGACCGCGUCCAGAUUACUUCCCGAUGCGAGGCACACGAGGAGCAGCCGGUGUGUGUCCGUCGAUUCGAUCCACCGGAGGUGCAGAUCGAAUUAACUUAUGGGCGCGCUGGGAUCGACCGGUGCGAGGCGCGCACAGGAGCAGCCGAUGUGCGUCGGUCGAUUUGAUCCACUGGAGGUGAGGGUCGGAAGCAAGUCCAUGGGCGCGCUGGGAUGGACCGGAGGAGCGGGAUCCGGCUCCAGCCGAUGGGCUCCAGCACGCGGUUGGAUGCGAGGUGCGCGAGGGAUUAGAGGAGGCGCGCGGGUGAAGAAUGGAGGGCGUGAGGGCGAUAAUGGCCGACGCCUCCUCUGCUAGAAACUGCUUCUUUCUCUCUUGAACCACGCAAUCAUGGCAUUCAUGGCUGGAACUAUGCUACGUCUGGUGGAUUGAUUUGGGCAGAUUCUGGAGCUUUGUGCUGUGGAUUUUCUUGCUAACCAGAUUCUGGAGCUUUCGGACGGGUUGUAAAAACGGUUAAGGUAGCUGGUUUGCACAACAAAGGUACAAUAAAUGGUUGUAUUCCCAUAGUGCAUACAUACUCGAUGAUUGGCGCUCCUUGACUUUUAAUUCUGAAAAUUAUUGCAGGUUUUCCUGUUUUUAUUAGUUUUAUCAUUGCUUUGAUGCAUGCUCUUGCUAUAUCUGAAUGAUUUUACAGUUGGCUGAACUAGGACAAAAUUCAUUCAUAGUAUGUUUCGACAUUUUGUUUCAGUUGCAGACCAACAGUAGUCUUUUUUUAAUGAAAACCAACAGUAGUCUUUACAAUCCUGAAAAUAAAAGGCCCACGCAACAUAUUCUUAGAAAUAGUGAAGCACAAUGUGCUGAGUCAUUCCUGUGGAGCUGCCUUCUAAAAAUGCACUAGAUCAUUAUUGGCGCGCAUCUAUUUUGAAGUUUUUUUUGACAGAGAUAUAUAUUUUUUUUGUAAAUGGGAGAAAGAGAAAAAUAAUUAAAAAAUACACCUGAAAAACACUGGUGGUAGUAAAGAUCAAAUACCACAGUUGACGGAAAUGCUGGCCACUUCAGUAAGUACUCCUUCUACUCGAUUGUUGCAAGCAUAUUCCAGAGUGCAGACCACAAAUAGAUGUUAUGGAACCAGAAAUAAAUCACAUUGUUGUAAUGUAUGAAUUUUUUUUCAAUAAUAUUCAUCGAUAUAACCUAACCUGCAAGGUUAUAUAUGGCUGGAGCAAUGGAUAAUACUGAGUAAGCGAAUCCUUGCUGCUGUAUUAGCCGAUGUAGCAGAGGUCGUUACCACAUUCAAGUCCUCUCAAUUCUGCACAAGACAGAAAGCAUGCUUAGUCAUCUUCAUUUUGAAAAUUUAGCCUACUGAUCUAUCUAAAAUGUAGAAACUGAAGUCAAUACCUGAACGUCAACCGUCGCAACAUCAUGUGAGAAGAGAUCUGUUGGGGACAAAGAAGAUCAGGCAGCGUAGCAGUACCUCAGUUUCCUGUGUUUCUCUCCAGGAACAUAAUUUAAGACCGGAAUGAUAUUCAAAUAUCCGAGGGGAUCCAGUGCGGGAGGGAGACAACGCGCUCGAGGAGAUUCAGCUGCGGCAAGGCGCCCGAAGGAAUCCAGCGCUUGAUGGUAUCCAGUCGAUCAAGCCGAGAUGCGUGAUGCAGGUGAAUCGGGGGCAGGUCAAUCCAGCCGACCAUGGUAAUCCGCCUGAGAGGUAGAGGGUCACCUUGAGCAGCGGACAAUUGCCGGAAAUCAAGGAGGUAUAUAACCAUCACUACAUACAUAGUAAAAAAUAAGGGGCCACUGAAAUGUUCUUGGAUUCUAAUGGAAUCAUCAACCCGUACAUCUCUAUCACUAAUUUGUAUUCUCGACACCAGUCAGUUUAGAUGUAUUCUUCAGUUUCUAACUGAUAGAAACAAACAUUGUUCUUUCACAUCGUACAACUCCACCAAAUGUACUAAUCUAAUUAUUUGCCUCAAGCAACUGGGAGCAAUGAAUACCAGAAUUGUCAUAUUAUAUAGAACUGCAAGUGAUAUCCAACAAUCAUUUUUGAUGAACAAAAUGAUAGGAGAGCGGCUGAAUCUAUGCGAAUAACCUGCAGUGGCGGAGUGGCAUCAAGCUGACACAACCACAUGUCUUCGGUGUUCCAAGCCUCGGCAUCCUCCAAAUCUCCCUUGAGGCUAGUGGCGCACUGAAUCUUAGCAUCAGAUAGUGUCUCAUAUACAGAAGCGAUUGAACUAAACCUGGCGGUGACGUGCACGAGUGGCUGCAGCUAGGAGCAACGGUGACGGGGAAGAGGAGACGUCGCACAUCUGCUACCGGUGGGAUCCUGUUGAACAUCGCAUCCUUGCACGCGUCGCCUCGGGUUGAUCCCCUCCUGCGCCGGAUCACUAGCAAGCAUCGCCUCGGAUUGAUCCCCACCCGCGUCGGAAUCCCUCGCGAGGCUCGACUUAGGCUAGAUGGAAGAAGAACGCCCGAAGUUGAGGGAGGCGAGGAGAUGCCGUCGUGGGCGGCGGCGGGGAGAGGAGGGGGCGUCGUGAGGAGCGAAGGGACAUGCUGGUUCGGUGUUUUAUUGUCUUCGCUCAAGCGGGCUUCCCUGCCUUGGGCCGAGUAGAAAACUGGCCCGAUUAACCCCUGGGCUCCAAAAUAGCUACGGGAGUAGCUGCCCUUGCGACGUUAGGCCCAGUUCGCGGCUAACAUAGCGCUAAUCCAACGGCUGACCUUGCUAAUGCCCUGAGAUGGCAGGAAAACUGCUCAGUUAUAGUGUCUUUAAAUUAUUGGAAUCUGCCUUUAUUCCAUGAAGAAGCAUCAUUAUUUCAUCCAACUGGGCUAACGAAUAUUCAUGGUGUUCCUGAAAGUAAAGAAAGGGGUUAAUAGUGUAAAAGUACAUGACAAAUCUGAAAGUUGCAUAUGAGGAACUCAUGCUGAUCUUCCAAAUUGUGCUUGAUGCAAAGAGAGCUUUGCUCUCACCUGACUUGCUGCUAUCCCGAGGAGAAAAGAUAAGUGGUAAGAACAAUGAACUUCGUACUAACAGUUAUGAUUUGGAACAUAAUUAUAGCAGAGAUUAACAAUUAUACCAUUAAAGAAGAUUUGAUAAAUCAAAAAACAAAUCAAGCACAUCCUCUAUAGAACACUUACAAGCACUCGAUUUAGAGAAAAGGGAGAAAGAAAAUGACGUUUAAUAUAUCCUCUCGAGGGAAACAUUGUUCCAGUGCAUGCAAAUAACCCCGAGAGGAUGAAACACUGUUGUAAUGAGCGUGAACGAUGUUUCACCGGUGAGAAGCAUGGACUGGAAAAUGUUGGGAUUACGGGGAAAACAAAAGCAUUUCGUUGAUGACCUUUCAGCCUUCACGUCGAUAGCGAGGCAUUGCCCAGCUCCUUUGAUUGUCACAGACAGCAGAGGCCCUUGUAUGAAACCCACAUACCCAGCAACCCGCCAAUUCAUGAAGGAACCAACAAAUAAUUUGUACACAGUUGUUUCGGUGUAGCUAUAUGAAUUAGGAAAGAACAUUCUGAAAUUUGGAUGUGGACUACUAUGUAUGGUUUCUGGGCAUGUCAAGGUAGUCUAGCACGCGUUGGGUGGAAUUGUAAGUUAGGAAUUAUAAAUUUAUUAUAACAUUGACCGACUGAUUGUUUAGUUUGUAGGAUAUAUAUAAAUAGUACAUGUACAGCCAUACCCUUGUGACUUUUGAAGAAGGUGAAGCUAAGGUUCAUUUGAUGUUGAUUUUUUGAAU